RNAcentral lists this transfer RNA (70 nucleotides) under Cyrtodactylus philippinicus. RNAcentral's name for it is "tRNA-Trp". Lineage: Eukaryota; Metazoa; Chordata; Lepidosauria; Squamata; Gekkonidae. The record is from RNAcentral.
AAGCUUAGGUUAAAUUAAACCAGGGACCUUCAAAGCCCCAAACACGAGUCUACCAACCCUCCUAGCUUCU